This 812-nucleotide ribosomal RNA is filed under the name Epicoccum dendrobii. RNAcentral describes it as "partial large subunit ribosomal RNA". It matches the Rfam family "Eukaryotic large subunit ribosomal RNA", at positions 134 to 964 of the family's 3401-position model. Lineage: Eukaryota; Fungi; Ascomycota; Dothideomycetes; Pleosporales; Didymellaceae. The record is from RNAcentral.
GCGUCCGAGUUGUAAUUUGCAGAGGGCGCUUUGGCAUUGGCAGCGGUCCAAGUUCCUUGGAACAGGACGUCACAGAGGGUGAGAAUCCCGUACGUGGUCGCUAGCCUUUACCGUGUAAAGCCCCUUCGACGAGUCGAGUUGUUUGGGAAUGCAGCUCUAAAUGGGAGGUAAAUUUCUUCUAAAGCUAAAUACUGGCCAGAGACCGAUAGCGCACAAGUAGAGUGAUCGAAAGAUGAAAAGCACUUUGGAAAGAGAGUUAAAAAGCACGUGAAAUUGUUGAAAGGGAAGCGCUUGCAGCCAGACUUGCCUGUAGUUGCUCAUCCGGGUUUCUACCCGGUGCACUCUUCUACGGGCAGGCCAGCAUCAGUUUGGGCGGUUGGAUAAAGGUCUCUGUCAUGUACCUCCUCUCGGGGAGAUCUUAUAGGGGAGACGACAUGCAACCAGCCUGGACUGAGGUCCGCGCAUCUGCUAGGAUGCUGGCGUAAUGGCUGUAAGCGGCCCGUCUUGAAACACGGACCAAGGAGUCUAACAUCUAUGCGAGUGUUUGGGUGUCAAGCCCGAGCGCGUAAUGAAAGUGAACGGAGGUGGGAACCUUUCGGGGUGCACCAUCGACCGAUCCUGAUGUCUUCGGAUGGAUUUGAGUAAGAGCAUAGCUGUUGGGACCCGAAAGAUGGUGAACUAUGCUUGAAUAGGGUGAAGCCAGAGGAAACUCUGGUGGAGGCUCGCAGCGGUUCUGACGUGCAAAUCGAUCGUCAAAUUUGGGCAUAGGGGCGAAAGACUAAUCGAACUAUCUAGUAGCUGGUUCCUGCCGA